AUAUGCCAUUGAGUGGGGGACAACAGUUGGAAACGACUGCUAAUACCGCAUAACGUCUACGGACCAAAGGGGGGGAUCUUCGGACCUCUCGCUCAUUGAUUAGCCCAAGUGAGAUUAGCUAGUUGGUAAGGUAAUGGCUUACCAAGGCGACGAUCUCUAGCUGGUUUGAGAGGAUGAUCAGCCACACUGGGACUGAGACACGGCCCAGACUCCUACGGGAGGCAGCAGUGGGGAAUAUUGCACAAUGGGCGAAAGCCUGAUGCAGCCAUGCCGCGUGUGUGAAGAAGGCCUUCGGGUUGUAAAGCACUUCCAGUCAGGAGGAAAGGGUGUGUUUUAAUAGAGCAUAUCUGUGACGUUACUGACAGAAGAAGCACCGGCUAACUCCGUGCCAGCAGCCGCGGUAAUACGGAGGGUGCGAGCGUUAAUCGGAAUUACUGGGCGUAAAGCGUACGCAGGCGGUUUGUUAAGCGAGAUGUGAAAGCCCCGGGCUCAACCUGGGAACUGCAUUUCGAACUGGCAAACUAGAGUGUGAUAGAGGGUGGUAGAAUUUCAGGUGUAGCGGUGAAAUGCGUAGAGAUCUGAAGGAAUACCGAUGGCGAAGGCAGCCACCUGGGUCAACACUGACGCUCAUGUACGAAAGCGUGGGGAGCAAACAG
RNAcentral lists this ribosomal RNA (656 nucleotides) under uncultured bacterium. Its description in RNAcentral is "bacterial SSU rRNA". It matches the Rfam family "Bacterial small subunit ribosomal RNA", at positions 124 to 775 of the family's 1533-position model. The record is from RNAcentral.